AGCACAUGUGGUUUGUUUUCACUUACCUAUGGAGAAAGCUAUCCAGACAAGUGCAGAAGGUAAAUUGUCUUUUGCAACCUGGAACUCCUUGUGCAUAAUGAGUUUUAUAUAAGAUGGAAUAUU
Jaculus jaculus (lesser Egyptian jerboa) is the source of this 123-nucleotide small nucleolar RNA. The record is from Ensembl. NCBI's taxonomy places the organism in Eukaryota, Metazoa, Chordata, Mammalia, Rodentia, Dipodidae.